AGAAUCAACGCUGGCGGCGUGCCUCAGACAUGCAAGUCGAACGCGAAAGUUUCCUUCGGGAGGCGAGUAGAGUGGCGCACGGGUGAGUAACACGUAGGUAAUCUACCUUUGGAUGGGGAAUAACAAUCGGAAACGGUUGCUAAUACCGCAUAAUGCAGCGGCACCUAAUGGUGACAGUUGUUAAAGCGGGGGAUCGAAAGACCUCGCGUCUGAAGAGGAGCCUGCGGCGAUUAGCUAGUUGGUAAGGUAAUGGCUUACC
Molecule: ribosomal RNA, 259 nt
Filed under: uncultured soil bacterium
Lineage: Bacteria
Description: partial 16S ribosomal RNA
Rfam family: Bacterial small subunit ribosomal RNA
Source: RNAcentral